Molecule: ribosomal RNA, 467 nt
Filed under: uncultured bacterium
Lineage: Bacteria
Description: partial 16S ribosomal RNA
Rfam family: Bacterial small subunit ribosomal RNA
Source: RNAcentral
GACGAACGCUGGCGGCGUGCUUAACACAUGCAAGUCGAACGGAAAGGCCCUGCUUUUGUGGGGUGCUCGAGUGGCGAACGGGUGAGUAACACGUGAGUAACCUGCCCUUGACUUUGGGAUAACUUCAGGAAACUGGGGCUAAUACCGGAUAGGAGCUCCUGCUGCAUGGGGGGGGUUGGAAAGUUUCGGCGGUUGGGGAUGGACUCGCGGCUUAUCAGCUUGUUGGUGGGGUAGUGGCUUACCAAGGCUUUGACGGGUAGCCGGCCUGAGAGGGUGACCGGCCCCAUUGGGCCUGGGAUACGGCCCAGACUCCUACGGGAGGCAGCAGUGGGGAUUAUUGCACAAUGGGCGGAAGCCUGAUGCAGCAACGCCGCGUGCGGGAUGACGGCCUUCGGGUUGUAAACCGCUUUCGCCUGUGACGAAGCGUGAGUGACGGUAAUGGGUAAAGAAGCACCGGCUAACUACGU